UUCCCGCAGGCCCUUUUAAAACCUUGAGCAAACGAUUCCGCGCGUAGGGUUGGGUUUGAGCGAAAAAUUUUGCGCGUAGGGCUGCGUUAUAUACCAAAAAUUGAGGUCUCAAAAGUUAACGUGCAUCUGCAAGCCAGCUGAUUGCACCGAUAGCACACAUACGCGAGCACAAAAUAAUAAACAAAUAAUUCCUCCGUCUAUACAACACACGGUUGAGGCAGGCCUGGAAUAAUUUCUAAGUUUCCAACGGCCAUUUUGCUACCAGCCUUUUCGACAGCAGCAUCGUGCAAAAGCUGUUGAAGUUUCCGAAAAAUCAUGCAGAGCAAAUGCUGAUGCACGCCCCGAAACGAAAAUUGGUGGCAAAGGAGGCUUUGGCGAAGAAUUUUUCCAUGUGUCGAUCUGGUGCGGAAGAGUACGAGGAGCUGGAAUUUAGCGGCAACAAUUUCCGCUACGAUACGUUCAACCGAAUACCUCUACUAUGGAAAAGAACCGAAGAUUCGGACGGAAGCGGCAUGCAGUUCAAGCAUCAACCGUUCCUCGCUAGCGGUGUGCUUAAAUGUGCUGGGAUAUUCAAUUUUUUUCAUUGUGACAAAAUAUAUGGAAACUGUGCACAGGGAAAUGAUUAUAUUGUAUAAAGUUGAUGAAAAAGUUUUGAAAUAAAUAAAAGAUGUUCAGAAA
Uranotaenia lowii is the source of this 678-nucleotide long non-coding RNA. RefSeq lists it as uncharacterized. The transcript has 2 exons. NCBI's taxonomy places the organism in Eukaryota, Metazoa, Arthropoda, Insecta, Diptera, Culicidae. The record is from RefSeq and is a predicted model, not a curated record.